GGCCCAUUUAUGACAGUCAGACUCCAUUACAGGCUCAGCUGAGGACACAUCUGGAACCCAUUUCCUGCCAGGGGGAUCCAUGGAUGGCGAGCCGUAGUCAGCAUUCAGCUGAGCCUCUCCUGUCUGGCUGUCGGCUGCCUCUUCUGGCCAGAGCCUAAGAACGUGGCUGCUAGUGAAAGUGUUUAUGUGUUUAUGUGACCACAGCUUUAGGUAACAGACAAGAAACAGUCAGAAUUAAGACAGCCUGAAGAGGAAGGAGCCCUGGAGCCCCUCCAGGCUGGAUGACCAGCCCUCUGUGGAGAUGUCAGCAGGCCAGAACCAGAAGGAUCGAACACAGGCGAGUUUUCCAGCAGAGCAAAUACAGAAACAGAAGUGAGAGUCCAGCUAUCUUCUAUCAAGCCAGAAAAGAGUGAGAUUUACAAAACUGUCAGCAACAAACUACCCCCCCCAAAAAAACCAAUGCUAUCCUUUUCGCUCGUGUUUUUUUUGUGUUGAAAAAUAUACUUAUUGUUUGCA
Molecule: long non-coding RNA, 516 nt
Organism: Neofelis nebulosa (Clouded leopard)
Lineage: Eukaryota; Metazoa; Chordata; Mammalia; Carnivora; Felidae
Exons: 3
Source: RefSeq, a predicted model, not a curated record